This 332-nucleotide long non-coding RNA is filed under the name Jatropha curcas. RNAcentral's name for it is "long non-coding RNA (JCUR_LNC002485)". The record is from RNAcentral. Lineage: Eukaryota; Viridiplantae; Streptophyta; Magnoliopsida; Malpighiales; Euphorbiaceae.
GAAGAAAAGAGAACGUGAUGCACCAUUUCAAAAACCCGAGAUUCGAGUUAAUACGACACGACGUCGUGGAGCCCCUGUUGCUGGAGGUUGACCAGAUCUACCAUCUUGCUUGCCCUGCAUCGCCUGUGCAUUACAAGCAUAACCCGGUCAAGACCAUAAAGACAAAUGUUGUAGGGACAUUAAAUAUGCUAGGGUUGGCCAAGAGAGUCGGUGCAAGGUUCUUGCUCACCAGCACCAGCGAGGUAUACGGUGAUCCUCUCCAGCACCCGCAGGUCGAGACUUACUGGGGCAACGUCAAUCCCAUAGGUGCGUCCAUGACUCCAUUCUCCUUU